GCCGGGCAUGGUGGCACGUGCCUGUAAUCCCAGCUACUUCAGGAGGCUGAGGCAGGAGAAUUGCUUGAGCCUGGGAGGCAGAGGGUGCAGUGCACCGAGAUCAUGCCAUUGCACUCCAGCCUGGGCAACAGAGUGAGACUCUGCCUCAA
Molecule: non-coding RNA, 149 nt
Filed under: Gorilla gorilla gorilla (western lowland gorilla)
Lineage: Eukaryota; Metazoa; Chordata; Mammalia; Primates; Hominidae
Source: Rfam by way of RNAcentral